Molecule: RNase P RNA, 253 nt
Filed under: Escherichia coli
Lineage: Bacteria; Pseudomonadati; Pseudomonadota; Gammaproteobacteria; Enterobacterales; Enterobacteriaceae
Also listed under: 1 other name
Description: partial RNase P RNA component class A
Rfam family: Bacterial RNase P class A
About the family: Ribonuclease P (RNase P) is a ubiquitous endoribonuclease, found in archaea, bacteria and eukarya as well as chloroplasts and mitochondria.
Source: RNAcentral
GUGCAACAGAGAGCAAACCGCCGAUGGCCCGUGCAAGCGGGAUCAGGUAAGGGUGAAAGGGUGCGGUAAGAGCGCACCGCGCGGCUGGUAACAGUCCGUGGCACGGUAAACUCCACCCGGAGCAAGGCCAAAUAGGGGUUCAUAAGGUACGGCCCGUACUGAACCCGGGUAGGCUGCUUGAGCCAGUGAGCGAUUGCUGGCCUAGAUGAAUGACUGUCCACGACAGAACCCGGCUUAUCGGUCAGUUUCACCU